This 583-nucleotide ribosomal RNA is filed under the name uncultured bacterium. RNAcentral's name for it is "partial 16S ribosomal RNA". It matches the Rfam family "Bacterial small subunit ribosomal RNA", at positions 357 to 1375 of the family's 1533-position model. The record is from RNAcentral.
UGGGAAUUUGGACAAUGGGCGAAGCCUGAUCCAGCAAUGCCGCGUGUGUGAAGAAGGCCUUCGGGUUGUAAAGCACUUUUGUCCGGAAAGAAAUCCUUGGCUCUAAUACAGUCGGGGGAUGACGGUACCGGAAGAAUAAGCACCGGCUAACUACGUGCCAGCAGCCGCGGUAAUACGUAGGGUGCAAGCGUUAAUCGGAAUUACUGGGCGUAAGGCGUGCGCAGGCGGUUUGCUAAGACCGAUGUGAAAUCCCCGGGCUCAACCUGGGAACUGCAUUGGUGACUGGCAGGCUAGAGUAUGGCAGAGGGGGGUAGAAUUCCACGUGUAGCAGUGAAAUGCGUAGAGAUGUGGAGGAAUACCGAUGGCGAAGGCAGCCCCCUGGGCCAAUACUGACGCUCAUGCACGAAAGCGUGGGGAGCAAACAGGAUUCAGAUACCCUGGUAGUCCACGCCCUAAACGAUGUCAACUAGUUGUUGGGGAUUCAUUUCCUUAGUAACGUAGCUAACGCGUGAAGUUGACCGCCUGGGGAGUACGGUCGCAAGAUUAAAACUUAAAGGAAUUGACGGGGUCAUAGCUGUUUCCU